GAAAAAUCCACUCUUCCUCCCACGGCUGCCCACCACUCCCCCUCGAACCCCACUCCUCCACCAUGAUACCCCACCCCACCACCACCUGCCUCCAGCACCGCCGUUGUCCACCACCUGCUUGGCAGCCGGCGACCACGAGGAUGGCCCCCGACCACCGCGGCACCCACCCACCUCCUCCUCUCACUCCAGGUCCGCGUGCGCCUCCCUCCCCAAACCACAGUGCCCUGCCUCCUCCUCCAGGUUGUCGCCGACCUGCCUCCUCCUCCCACCGGCCGGCGCGGCCCCGCCUCCUCCUCCCAACGACCGGCCCCGCCUGCUCCCCCCUGCCACCUACCGCCGCCGAGCCGCCGCCCAUCCUGCCACUCAGGCACCCUCCCGCGGCCUCGCAGAUCUGACCAUAUCCGGAUCCGGCCGCCACGCCCCUCUCCCUGCCGACCGGCACUUGAUGCGGCCACCGCGCCCCUCUCCCUGCCGAACGGCACCUGAUCCGGCCGCCGCGCCCCUCUCCUUCUUCCUUCCCGGCCGGUCGCUGCUCCCCACGCUGCCGUGCUGAACGGCCAGAGCAACACCAUAGGUGAGCCGCCCCUCCUCUCUCCUUUCCUUCUUCCUCCUCCUCACCUCUCCCCUCACACGGUUGUGCUGCAGGAGCUGCCAUGGCCAUCUCAAGCUUGCUUGUCGCCGCCGCUCUGGAUCCGGCCACCGUCAGCCAGAUCCACUCCAGCGCGCUGCUAGAAACUGGGUAGAAUAGACCCCGCCGCGUGCAGUUUGCCUGGGUCCCUCAUGCGGUGCGAUGCAUCGGUUGCAGUUCGGGGCCCUUUUUUCGGAUUUUGCUUGUGCAAAAGCACUGCAGUAUGCAUGAGUCCUCGGUGCAGCGAGGCUGGGUGUUCUGCCGCAGUUUCUUUUUGUUGAUUUUCCCAAUUUUCAAAGAUGUUGUACUGCAAAAAAAGGAACUACUCGCGCAAAAGGAAGGCACAGUUCCCUUCUGUGUUGGGAGGACCCUCGAGCAAGCUGAUCAACGACAGGUUCGUGUGCAUGCUGGUGACCCGACGGGAGCUCGUGGUUCAAUUCAGAGCCGUGUGUGCUUCAUUGUGCACACUUGCGGUAGGAGGACACAAAAUUGAAUGAAGUUCGCUCGUCUUGUCCUUGCAGAGCACAUGUGCAGUACAGAGCAGAUGUGAAACAACCAUAUAAAACAAAAACAUGC
RNAcentral lists this ribosomal RNA (1204 nucleotides) under Triticum aestivum (bread wheat). Its description in RNAcentral is "partial small subunit ribosomal RNA". The record is from RNAcentral. Lineage: Eukaryota; Viridiplantae; Streptophyta; Magnoliopsida; Poales; Poaceae.